GUCAUUAAAAGAAAAAUUGAUUGAGGUAUUUUAGUAAACAAAAGAACUCACUGCUUACCCAUCAGGAAGUGUAUUGUUAAGAUAGUGCUGUUCAGCCUCUUGGAAGAAAAUGUUUCUUCAUGCUUCUCUCUUUAGCCUAAUUCUUAUCCUGUCACAUUUCAGGAAAAAAAAAAAAAAGACAAGAUUGAAAAUGAUGGCCCUAUUUUAUUUGCUUCAAAAGAAACAGGCUGUUGCAUUGUGCUUGGAACAGUUUACUCUUGGCCUUGACGAGAGAAAACAAAGAAGAGUAAAAACUAGAUUGUCAUGUAUGUUAUUCAGAAUUCUUUGACUGCAAACCAACCAGAGUCAAAAAGGAAAAUACACUGGCUUAUGAAACCUUAUCACAAAUAUGGCAGGGUAGGUGGACCCUCAGGAACAAGGGAAUGGGAUACUAGAAUUAAUCCAGUCUGAGUUGACUGCCUGCCUCAGAGGUCUUAUUAGAGGAAGGGGUGUGUGUUAGGGUGGGGGGAGGGCCGAGCAGGUAAAGAUAAGACCACCAACCAUUUAAAAAAUGGUUUCCUUUGAUGUCUUUCUAAAUUUUGCAAAUGCUUUCAAGCAGUGGGGAAAAGAACAUGGAGACUAUACAAGUGAGUGCUAUGCUUGUAUCAUGAGCCUGGUGCUUACCUUGAACAGCUCACUCACUGGGUGUACCUGAGGCUACAGAUGCCCCGUGAAAAGCUUCUACAAGGUUGUUCUCAAGCUGGUCUCCUCAUGUGGUUCCGUUCCUUCCCUGUUCCUUCAUUCCAGUGAUCUCCCUCCUUUCCUGACCCCUGUGACUGAUGGCUUUUUUUGCAUGGGCAACCUAACUUUGCUUUUGUUUUCAUCCUGGAGGACAAAGUCUUCAGAUUAUCCUAAACCUGAUCAACUGUAGCCACUGGGCCAAUAUUCCCCUCCUCCAAACGGGCCAUUUUCCUGGUGCCCUGUCGCCCUAGCUUGGGUCAAACACUCCUAGAAACGAAAAGGUAUGGUUCACAAUAGACAUUCUAGAAAUAGAUUGUUUUUGACAUGUCGCAAAAUUUAUUCACACCUUGGAACUAAAGCGUUUUCCCACUGAAACCAACACCAGCCAGGCCGCCCCUGGAAUGUAAGGAGGUCCAAAUAUGGGAU
Molecule: long non-coding RNA, 1146 nt
Filed under: Felis catus (domestic cat)
Lineage: Eukaryota; Metazoa; Chordata; Mammalia; Carnivora; Felidae
Description: lncRNA (ENSFCAG00000052682.1)
Source: RNAcentral